RNAcentral lists this ribosomal RNA (443 nucleotides) under Capnocytophaga granulosa. RNAcentral describes it as "bacterial SSU rRNA". It matches the Rfam family "Bacterial small subunit ribosomal RNA", at positions 28 to 474 of the family's 1533-position model. Lineage: Bacteria; Pseudomonadati; Bacteroidota; Flavobacteriia; Flavobacteriales; Flavobacteriaceae. The record is from RNAcentral.
GAUGAACGCUAGCGGCGGGCCUAACACAUGCAAGUCGAGGGAGAAGCCCUUCGGGGCAGAAACCGGCGCACGGGUGCGUAACGCGUAUGCAACCUACCUUUCACAGGGGGAUAGCCCGAAGAAAUUUGGAUUAAUACCCCAUAAUAUUAUUGGAUGGCAUCAUUUGAUAAUUAAAAUUACGAUGGCGAAAGAUGGGCAUGCGUCCUAUUAGCUAGUUGGAGUGGUAACGGCACCCCAAGGCUACGAUAGGUAGGGGUCCUGAGAGGGAGAUCCCCCACACUGGUACUGAGACAGGGACCAGACUCCUACGGGAGGCAGCAGUGAGGAAUAUUGGUCAAUGGUCGGAAGACUGAACCAGCCAUGCCGCGUGCAGGAAGAAUGCCUUAUGGGUUGUAAACUGCUUUUAUAUGGGAAGAAUAAGGAGUACGUGUACUUUGAUGACG